GGGGGGCACCAUAAAGCAUUUGUGCUUAGGGCACCCAAAUGGCUAGCAACGGCCCUGGAAGUCAAAACUCGAGCUGUCGAGAGAUGAGGAGGAGGAGGGGCCAGACAGGAGAGCAAGAAGGUGAAAGUUCAAAGGAGGACAUGCCGGCUUUGAGGAGCCUGAGUACGGGCAAAGUGACGAUGCCCAAAGUCCAUCUUGGAUAAGAAGCAUUACCUGAUAUGUCUUCCUCUGAGCUUUCAACUUCCUGCUCUGAUGUCUGGCCUUCCUCCACCUCAUCCCCCGACAGCAAUAAGACUGACUCCCCUUCCACGGUUUGAAGUAAAAUCCCUCCUGCCUCAUCCUGCCUCCUGCUUCCUGAAGUACGGCUCAAAAUCUGAAAAUGUAAGGCGACUCCUUUCCUUUCCUGCCCGCCCUCCUGAUGAGGCACACCUGGCAACUCUUGGUUAACUAACUCACCUGUGGCUCAUGCUGUAAUUGACAGCUGCUUUGAAGGAUGAAACUUUCCCUCUGUUGUUGGCAGAUCAUUGUGUCAGCAAGUGACUGUUUCCAGAAGGGACUGCUUCCAGGCUGGAGUGGAAUUACUAGUUCUGGGGAAAUCGAAGCUUUGUGAAACACUCAAACCUUUGAAGCAUUUGUGCCACAACUGUAUCAAGGCUUCAAAACCAUCUGAAACCCAUCUCCACAGUGACAUCUGCUGGCUAGUUUGGCUAUCACUACAUCUUGAUAAUGCUUUCUGUGAAACAGUGAUGCAGACAAUAAUUGUGAUCACAUGUUACAACCAAGGAAAGGAAAAUAAUGAGACUGUUAACUGUAAUGAUAACUGUGCUAUCAUCUAGUGUUGCUCACAAUAAAUCAAUGUAUGAAGUAAACUGUCCAGAGAAAAAAAACUGCUGUGUUUACUUUACUAACCACACAGCUGUGUUUGGCCUAAGUCAGCUUCGUUUUUCGAUCACAGCACUGAAACUUUGGAUGCUGGACUUACAUUUUCUGGGAGUUUGUGUCAUCAGGUUUGUUCUACACACUGUCAAGCAAAGCUAGAAGCUGGCAUAGCUUUAGGUUUGAUUUGUAAUCAGCCUAAAAACCAUGAAGAAACUUUCCUGAACUUGACACUGGUGUAACACUUGCAUGAUGUUUUACUGUGAGUCUGGAGUUUUGGUCAUAGUGAA
Molecule: long non-coding RNA, 1166 nt
Organism: Oreochromis aureus
Lineage: Eukaryota; Metazoa; Chordata; Actinopteri; Cichliformes; Cichlidae
Exons: 3
Source: RefSeq, a predicted model, not a curated record